RNAcentral lists this ribosomal RNA (204 nucleotides) under uncultured bacterium. Its description in RNAcentral is "partial 16S ribosomal RNA". It matches the Rfam family "Bacterial small subunit ribosomal RNA", at positions 524 to 726 of the family's 1533-position model. The record is from RNAcentral.
UACGUAGGGGUGCGAGGCGUUGUCCGGAAUUAUUUGGGCGUAAAGAGCUUGUAGGUGGUUUGUCGCGUCUGCUGUGAAAAUCCGAGGCUCAACCUCGGCUUGCAGUGGGUACGGGCAGACUAGAGUGUGGUAGGGGAGACUGGAAUCCUGGUGUAGCGGUGGAUGACGCAGAUAUCAGGAGGAACACCGGUGGCGAAGGCGGGU